This 461-nucleotide ribosomal RNA is filed under the name uncultured Glomus. RNAcentral describes it as "SSU rRNA". It matches the Rfam family "Eukaryotic small subunit ribosomal RNA", at positions 569 to 1036 of the family's 1831-position model. Lineage: Eukaryota; Fungi; Glomeromycota; Glomeromycetes; Glomerales; Glomeraceae. The record is from RNAcentral.
AGCAGCCGCGGUAAUUCCAGCUCCAAUAGCGUAUAUUAAAGUUGUUGCAGUUAAAAAGCUCGUAGUUGAAUUUCGGGAUCAAUAUAUUGGUCAUGCUUAGGUAUGUACUGGUAUUAUUGAUUUCUCCCUUCUGAAGAACCAUGAUGUCAUUAAUUUGAUGUCGUGGGGAAUCAGGACUGUUACUUUGAAAAAUUAGAGUGUUUAAAGCAGGCUUUCGCUUGAAUACAUUAGCAUGGAAUAAUGAAAUAGGACGUUUGAUUCUAUUUUGUUGGUUUCUAGGAUCGACGUAAUGAUUAAUAGGGAUAGUUGGGGGCAUUAGUAUUCAAUUGUCAGAGGUGAAAUUCUUGGAUUUAUUGAAGACUAACUACUGCGAAAGCAUUUGCCAAGGAUGUUUUCAUUAAUCAAGAACGAAAGUUAGGGGAUCGAAGACGAUCAGAUACCGUCGUAGUCUUAACCAUAAA